This 549-nucleotide ribosomal RNA is filed under the name Chryseobacterium sp. 30-N8. Its description in RNAcentral is "bacterial SSU rRNA". It matches the Rfam family "Bacterial small subunit ribosomal RNA", at positions 934 to 1494 of the family's 1533-position model. The record is from RNAcentral. Lineage: Bacteria; Pseudomonadati; Bacteroidota; Flavobacteriia; Flavobacteriales; Weeksellaceae.
GGAUUAUGUGGUUUAAUUCGAUGAUACGCGAGGAACCUUACCAAGGCUUAAAUGGGAAAUGACAGGUUUAGAAAUAGACUUUUCUUCGGACAUUUUUCAAGGUGCUGCAUGGUUGUCGUCAGCUCGUGCCGUGAGGUGUUAGGUUAAGUCCUGCAACGAGCGCAACCCCUGUCACUAGUUGCCAUCAUUAAGUUGGGGACUCUAGUGAGACUGCCUACGCAAGUAGAGAGGAAGGUGGGGAUGACGUCAAAUCAUCACGGCCCUUACGCCUUGGGCCACACACGUAAUACAAUGGCCGGUACAGAGGGCAGCUACACUGCGAAGUGAUGCAAAUCUCGAAAGCCGGUCUCAGUUCGGAUUGGAGUCUGCAACUCGACUCUAUGAAGCUGGAAUCGCUAGUAAUCGCGCAUCAGCCAUGGCGCGGUGAAUACGUUCCCGGGCCUUGUACACACCGCCCGUCAAGCCAUGGAAGUCUGGGGUACCUGAAGUCGGUGACCGUAACAGGAGCUGCCUAGGGUAAAACAGGUAACUAGGGCUAAGUCGUAACAA